AUAUAGUUUAGAAAAAAGUAAACUUUUUUACCACAACCUUUGAUUUCUAACUAAUGAUACUUUGAUUAUAAUGAUUUAUUAAUUUAUAAGUUCAUUAGGCUUCAAUCAAUAAUACUUAACUAAACAUUAAGGAUCGCAUCAAAAAAUGAAUUAUCGAAAACGUAUAAAAACUUUGACAGUGUUUCUAAAGGUAUCAUUCGAGUUUAGUCUCCUUUGAAACCAACAAGAUGAACAAGUUCUUCGUGGUCGCCCUCUUCGCCCUCGUUGCUGCCUGCGCUGCAGCCCCACCUGUGGUUACAAACAUCAACCCGAUCUCAGAGACGACUGGAACUAUUGAAGGUCACGAUGCGGAGAAACGCGCCAUUCUCUAUCGCGCACCUCUAGGUCACUACUACGGCGGCUACCCCACUGGCUACCCCGCAGGCUACCCGGCUGACUACCGCUACCGCGUUGCGGCACCGCUGUCCUACCUUUCUUACCCGAGCGAGCCUUACUACGGUAGCUACGGUAGCUACGUCAUCUGAAUACCUGGAUUAACCGACGACAGUUUGAGCGAAUAAAGAUUGCAAUUUUA
Long non-coding RNA from Cydia pomonella (codling moth), 574 nucleotides. RefSeq lists it as uncharacterized. The record is from RefSeq and is a predicted model, not a curated record. Lineage: Eukaryota; Metazoa; Arthropoda; Insecta; Lepidoptera; Tortricidae. The transcript is spliced from 2 exons.